Ictalurus furcatus (blue catfish) is the source of this 186-nucleotide long non-coding RNA. RefSeq lists it as uncharacterized. NCBI's taxonomy places the organism in Eukaryota, Metazoa, Chordata, Actinopteri, Siluriformes, Ictaluridae. The transcript is spliced from 2 exons. The record is from RefSeq and is a predicted model, not a curated record.
AAAAGUUUUAUCUGGUUGAACAUCAAGAAAGGAAACAUGUCUUCUUAGUUUACAUUAUGUUGUAGAACAUCCAGAAAAGAGUUGCUCCGUCACCAGACGCUCCUUUUCUCUAUCUUGACGUUAAUAGGACUAAAAAAAAAAUGCUGCUUGUCGUUUUACCAAGAACCCACCGACUCAAAUCUUAAA